GAUGAACGCCGGCGGUGUGCCUAAUACAUGCAAGUCGAGCGCACUGGCCCAACUGAUAUGACGUGCUUGCACUGAAUUGACGUUGGAUUCCCAGUGAGCGGCGGACGGGUGAGUAACACGUGGGCAACCUGCCCUGAAGCGGGGGAUAACAUCUGGAAACAGGUGCUAAUACCGCAUAACAACGAAAACCACAUGGUUUUCGUUUCAAAGAUGGUUUCGGCUAUCACUUCAGGAUGGGCCCGCGGUGCAUUAGCUAGUUGGUAAGGUAACGGCUUACCAAGGCGAUGAUGCAUAGCCGAGUUGAGAGACUGAUCGGCCACAAUGGAACUGAGACACGGUCCAUACUCCUACGGGAGGCAGCAGUAGGGAAUCUUCCACAAUGGGCGCAAGCCUGAUGGAGCAACACCGCGUGAGUGAAGAAGGGUUUCGGCUCGUAAAGCUCUGUUGUUGGAGAAGAACGUGCGUGAGAGUAACUGUUCACGCAGUGACG
This 490-nucleotide ribosomal RNA is filed under the name Limosilactobacillus vaginalis. RNAcentral describes it as "bacterial SSU rRNA". It matches the Rfam family "Bacterial small subunit ribosomal RNA", at positions 28 to 474 of the family's 1533-position model. The record is from RNAcentral. Lineage: Bacteria; Bacillati; Bacillota; Bacilli; Lactobacillales; Lactobacillaceae.